AACGCACAUUGCGCUCUCUGGUAUUCCGGAGAGCAUGCUUGUUUGAGUAUCAGUAAAACACCCUCAGUUUCUGUCUCUUUUGAGACGGGAACUGGACUUGAGCGAUCCCAACGGCGGUAGAAUCUUCUACUAUCGGCGGGUUGCUUGAAAUGCAGGUGCGGCAGGACACAUCUUCUGAGCUAUAAGCAUUACUUAUUUAGUCCCGUUAAAACGGACUAUUACUAUUGCUGCAGCUAAUAUAAAGGUUGAUUGUCCGUUUUGCCCGACUGAUGCAGGAAUUGUCAGAGGCUCUGUCCUUUGUUCAACUCGAUCUCAAAUCAAGUAAGACUACCCGCUGAACUUAA
RNAcentral lists this unclassified non-coding RNA (344 nucleotides) under uncultured fungus. RNAcentral's name for it is "partial contains 5.8S ribosomal RNA, internal transcribed spacer 2, and large subunit ribosomal RNA". The record is from RNAcentral. Lineage: Eukaryota; Fungi.